GCCUGGUUGGCUCAGUUGGUAGAGCAUGUGACUUGAUUUCAGGGUUGUGAGUUCAAGCCCCACGUUGGGUG
This 71-nucleotide transfer RNA is filed under the name Canis lupus familiaris (dog). It matches the Rfam family "tRNA". Rfam says of the family: Transfer RNA (tRNA) molecules are approximately 80 nucleotides in length. RNAcentral also lists the same sequence under 1 other name. The record is from Rfam by way of RNAcentral. Lineage: Eukaryota; Metazoa; Chordata; Mammalia; Carnivora; Canidae.